CAAUAGCGUAUAUUAAAGUUGUUGCGGUUAAAAAGCUCGUAGUUGGAUCUGUGUCCCGCACCGCUGGUUCACCGCCUGUCGGUGUCAAACUGGCGUGUUUGCGGGACGUCCUGUCGGUGGUGGUCCGGUGCUUCGUUGGCCCUAAGGGUUAUCAUUACGAUGCCCCGAAGGCUGGCGAAUGUCUCCGGCCGCCUUGUCAAUCCCGCCGCGGUGCUCUUUACUGAGUGUCGAGGCGGGCCGGCACGUUUACUUUGAACAAAUUAGAGUGCUUCAAGCAGGCUCUUUUCUGCCUGCAUACUGUGUGCAUGGAAUAAUGGAAUAGGACCUCGGUUCUAUUUUGUUGGUUUUCGGAAUCUGAGGUAAUGAUCAAUGGGGACAGGCGGGGGCAUUCGUAUUGCGACGUUAGAGGUGAAAUUCUUGGAUCGUCGCAAGACGGACCGAAGCGAAAGCAUUUGCCAAGUAUGUUCUCGUCGAUCAAGAACGAAAGUUAGAGGUUCGAAGGCGAUCAGAUACCGCCCUAGUUCUAACCAUAAACUAUGCCUGCCAGCGAUCCGCCGGCGUUCCUCCGAUGACCCGGCGGGCAGCUUCCGGGAAACCAGAGCCUUUGGGUUCCGGGGGAAGUAUGGUUGCAAAGCUGAAACUUAAAGGAAUUGACGGAAGGGCACCACCAGGAGUGGAGCCUGCGGCUUAAUUUGACUCAACACGGGAAAACUCACCAGGCCCGGACACCGGAAGGAUUGACAGAUUGAGAGCUCUUUCUUGAUUCGGUGGGUGGUGGUGCAUGGCCGUUCUUAGUUGGUGGAGCGAUUUGUCUGGUUAAUUCCGAUAACGAACGAGACUCUAGCCUACUAACUAGACGUAUCCGGUAUCCACAAUCGUGCUACCGGCGAUCAAAUUGCUUCUUAGAGGGACAGGCGGCUAUAGCCGCACGAGACUGAGCAAUAACAGGUCUGUGAUGCCCUUAGAUGUCCUGGGCCGCACGCGCGCUACACUGAAGGAGUCAGCGUGUCUUCCCUGUCCGAAAGGACCGGGUAACCCGCUGAACCUCCUUCGUGCUAGGGAUUGGGGCUUGCAAUUGUUCCCCAUGAACGAGGAAUUCCCAGUAAGCGCGAGUCAUAAGCUCGCGUUGAUUACGUCCCUGCCCUUUGUACACACCGCCCGUCGCUACUACCGAUUGAAUGAUUUAGUGAGGUCUUCGGACUGGUGCGCGGAGGUGGCUUCUGUCACUUCCGAUGUUGUCGGAAAGAUGACCAAACUUGAUCAUUUAGAGGAAGUAAAAGUCGUAACAAGGU
This 1292-nucleotide ribosomal RNA is filed under the name Nymphomyndus caribbea. RNAcentral describes it as "SSU rRNA". It matches the Rfam family "Eukaryotic small subunit ribosomal RNA", at positions 592 to 1800 of the family's 1831-position model. Lineage: Eukaryota; Metazoa; Arthropoda; Insecta; Hemiptera; Cixiidae. The record is from RNAcentral.